RNAcentral lists this ribosomal RNA (680 nucleotides) under uncultured bacterium. RNAcentral describes it as "bacterial SSU rRNA". It matches the Rfam family "Bacterial small subunit ribosomal RNA", at positions 54 to 749 of the family's 1533-position model. The record is from RNAcentral.
CAUGCAAGUCGAGCGGAAAGGCCACUUCGGUGGUACUCGAGCGGCGAACGGGUGAGUAACACGUGAGUAAUCUGCCCCUGGCUUUGGGAUAGCCACCGGAAACGGUGAUUAAUACCGGAUAUGACCACUUCACGCAUGUGAUGGUGGUGGAAAGUUUUUCGGCCAGGGAUGUGCUCGCGGCCUAUCAGCUUGUUGGUGGGGUGACGGCCCACCAAGGCGACGACGGGUAGCCGGCCUGAGAGGGCGACCGGCCACACUGGGACUGAGACACGGCCCAGACUCCUACGGGAGGCAGCAGUGGGGAAUAUUGCACAAUGGGCGCAAGCCUGAUGCAGCGACGCCGCGUGAGGGAUGACGGCCUUCGGGUUGUAAACCUCUUUCAGCAGGGAAGAAGCGCGAGUGACGGUACCUGCAGAAGAAGCACCGGCUAACUACGUGCCAGCAGCCGCGGUAAUACGUAGGGUGCGAGCGUUGUCCGGAAUUAUUGGGCGUAAAGAGCUCGUAGGCGGUCCGUCGCGUCGGAUGUGAAAUCCCGGGGCUCAACCCCGGGUCUGCAUUCGAUACGGGCGGACUGGAGUGUGGCAGGGGAGAUCGGAAUUCCCGGUGUAGCGGUGAAAUGCGCAGAUAUCANGAGGAACACCGGUGGCGAAGGCGGAUCUCUGGGCCAUUACUGACGCUGA